AGCGAACGGUGGCGGCGUGGAUUAGGCAUGCAAGUCGAACGCGAAAGGCUGGGCAACUGGCUGAGUAGAGUGGCGGACGGGUGAGUAAUGUAUGGAUAACCUACCCUUGAGACGGGGAUAACCACUGGAAACGGUGGCUAAUACCCGAUAGUCCCUCGAACCGAGAGGUUUGAACGGUAAAGGGAGCAAUCCCACUUGAGGAGGGGUCCAUAUCCUAUCAGCUAGUUGGUGAGGUGAUGGCUCACCAAGGCAACGACGGGUAGCCGAACUGAGAGGUCGAUCGGCCACAUCGGAACUGAGAACUGUCCGGACUCCUACGGGAGGCUGCAGUCGAGAAUCUUCUGCAAUGGGCGCAAGCCUGACAGAGCGACGCCGCGUGCGGGAUGAAGGCCCUCGGGUUGUAAACCGCUGUCACUCGUUAAGAAAGCCUGGGGUAGGCCUCCAGGCUGACGUUAGCGAGAGAGGAAGUCACGGCUAACUUCGUGCCAGCAGCCGCGGUAA
RNAcentral lists this ribosomal RNA (501 nucleotides) under uncultured bacterium. Its description in RNAcentral is "bacterial SSU rRNA". It matches the Rfam family "Bacterial small subunit ribosomal RNA", at positions 29 to 523 of the family's 1533-position model. The record is from RNAcentral.